RNAcentral lists this long non-coding RNA (2342 nucleotides) under Coturnix japonica (Japanese quail). RNAcentral's name for it is "lncRNA (ENSCJPG00005002725.1)". Lineage: Eukaryota; Metazoa; Chordata; Aves; Galliformes; Phasianidae. The record is from RNAcentral.
GUUGUGGGCCCUAUAGUAACACCCCAAUGGGGUCGGGGGGGUUGUGGGCCCUAUAGUAACACCCCGGGGGGGGGUUGUGCCCCCCCCUAUGGCUGUCCCUGAUAAGCAGCACUUCGAGGAAGGGCACGUCACCUUCCUUUCACCCCAGGGGGGGGGGGCAAAAAGGGGUGGGGGCCCCCCCAGAUCCCUUUAACACCCCCCCACCCCAAACCCCACCUCAACCUGCUCCCCCCCCCCACAAUUAAAACCCAUUAUAAGUUGGGGGGGGGGGGAGUAAAGCAAUGGGGGGGGCACCCCUUGUUGUGUGUGUGUCCUGUGCCCCCCCCCCACCCCCUUCUAUGCCCAACCGCCUCCCGCCCGCUAUCAGAUAAGGCCUUAUCAGUGCCCUACAGCCCCGGGGCCGUUACCCAAAGGGAGUAAAGGGGGGGGGGACCCCAAAGUGCCCGCCCCCCCCACCCCAAAAAAAAGGGAGGGGGGGGGUCUUGGAUGGGGGGGGGCACAGCCCCUCCCUACAGGCGGGGCUGCGUCCGUCUGUCCGUCCGUGAGAGCGGGGUGACACACGGCUGCAGCCCCCCCCCCCCCCCUUAUGGAGUUUGUGGCGCUGGGGGGGCCGGACGCGGGUUCCCCCCCUCCAUUCCCUGAUGAAGCCGGAGCCUUUUUGGGGCUGGGGGGGGGCGAGGGGACGGAGGCGGGGGGGCUGCUGGCCUCAUACCCCCCCUCAGCAGUGGACCCCCAGCAUGCGGUGAGUGGGGGGGGGGGACUGGGAGCAAUGGGAGGGAAUGGGGGGAAUCUGGGAUGGGGGGUGGGGGCACUGGGUGGGACUGGGAAGGGGGUGGGGGGACUGGGAAGGGGGUGGCCAAUACUGGUGUAUACUGGCCCAUACUGGCUCAUACUGGUCCAUACUGGUCCAUACUGGCCCAUACUGGUUUAUACUGGUCCAUACUGGUGUAUACUGGCCCAUACUGGUGUAUACGGGCCCAUACUGGUGUAUACUGGUUCAUUCUGGUGUAUACUGGCCCAUACUGGUUUAUACUGGCCCAUACUGGUGUAUACUGGUCCAUACAGGUGUAUACUGGUCCAUACUGGUGUAUACUGGCCCACACUGGUGUAUACGGGUCCAUACUGGUGUAUACUGGCCCAUACUGGUGUAUGCUGGUCCAUACUGGUGUAUACUGGCCCAUACUGGUGUAUACUGGCCCAUACUGGUGUAUACUGGCCCAUACUGGUGUAUACGGGUCCAUACUGGUGUAUACCGGUCCAUACUGGUGUAUACUGGUCCAUACUGGUGUAUACUGGUUUGUUCUGGUGUAUACUGGCCCAUACAGGUGUAUACUGGUUCAUUCUGGUGUAUACGGGUCCAUACUGGUGUAUACUGGUUCAUUCUGGUGUAUGCUGGUCCAUACUGGCGUAUACUGGCACAUACUGGUAUAUACUGGUUCAUUCUGGUGUAUACUGGUCCACACUGGUGUAUACUGGAUCGUAUUAGUGUAUAUGGCUUCAUAUAGGUGUAUGCUGGUCCAUACUGGUGUAUACUGGCCCAUAAUGGUGUAUACUGGUCCAUACUGGCGUAUACUGGUCCAUACUGGGAGGAGACACUGGAAUACAAACAGCUUAUAGACACACUAUAGGAGCAUCCUAUAGGAGGGGGGGGGGGAGGGAUUUAUGGUGGUUUGUAGCGGUCCAUACUGGUCUAUACUGGUCUAUACUGGUCUAUACUGGUCCUUACUGGUCCUUACUGGUCCUUACUGGUCUAUACUGGUCUAUACUGGCCCAUACUGAUCCAUACUGGUCUAUACUGGUCCAUACUGGUCUAUACUGGCCCAUACUGGUCUAUACUGGUCCUUACUGGCCCAUACUGGUCUAUACUGGUCCUUACUGGUCUAUACUGGUCUAUACUGGUCAGAGGCCCGUGAAUGCGUCAACUGCGGGGCCAUGUCCACCCCGCUCUGGAGGAGGGAUGGCACCGGGCACUACCUGUGCAACGCCUGCGGGCUCUACCACAAAAUGAACGGUCAAAACCGACCUCUGAUCCGCCCCAAAAAGCGCCUGGUGAGCCCCAAAACCACGACCCCCCCCACUAGGAGACCCCCCCCCAUCCCACAACCCCCCUGUACGCCCCCCCAAAAGCACCCUAAAAUCCCUAAUAUCACCCCAAAAUCAACCCCCCCCCCCAUCGCGCUCAAUGCAUCCCCAUCUCUACCCCCUUACCCUGUGUGCUCACAGACAGCCCCAUAUCUGCCCCAAAAAGCGCCUGGUGAGCCCCAAAACCACGGCCCCCCCCCACUAGGAGACCCCCCCCAUCCAACAACCCCCCUGUACGCCCCUUCAAAAGCACCCUAAAA